This 253-nucleotide ribosomal RNA is filed under the name uncultured bacterium. RNAcentral describes it as "partial 16S ribosomal RNA". It matches the Rfam family "Bacterial small subunit ribosomal RNA", at positions 524 to 776 of the family's 1533-position model. The record is from RNAcentral.
UACGAAGGGUGCUAGCGUUGUUCGGAAUCACUGGGCGUAAAGCGCGCGUAGGCGGUUAUUCAAGUCAGGGGUGAAAUCCUGGAGCUCAACUCCAGAAUUGCCUUUGAAACUAAAUAACUAGAGUGUCGGAGGGGAUAGCGGAAUUCCUAAUGUAGAGGUGAAAUUCGUAGAUAUUAGGAGGAACACCGGUGGCGAAGGCGGCUAUCUGGACGACAACUGACGCUUAGGCGCGAAAGCGCGGGGAUCAAACAGG